AACUAGUUGCGGUGCGGAUUAUG
Molecule: non-coding RNA, 23 nt
Filed under: Arabidopsis thaliana (thale cress)
Lineage: Eukaryota; Viridiplantae; Streptophyta; Magnoliopsida; Brassicales; Brassicaceae
Source: RNAcentral